This 460-nucleotide ribosomal RNA is filed under the name uncultured bacterium. RNAcentral's name for it is "partial 16S ribosomal RNA". It matches the Rfam family "Bacterial small subunit ribosomal RNA", at positions 338 to 795 of the family's 1533-position model. The record is from RNAcentral.
CCUACGGGAGACAGCAGUGAGGAAUAUUGGUCAAUGGACGAGAGUCUGAACCAGCCAAGUAGCGUGAAGGAUGACUGCCCUACGAGUUGUAAACUUCUUUUAUAAAGGAAUAAAGUGAGGCACGUGUGCCCUUUUGUAUGUACUUUAUGAAUAAGGAUCGGCUAACUCCGUGCCAGCAGCCGCGGUAAUACGGAGGAUCCGAGCGUUAUCCGGAUUUAUUGGGUUUAAAGGGAGCGUAGACGGGUUGUUAAGUCAGUUGUGAAAGGUUGCGGCUCAACCGGAAAAUUGCAUUUGAUACUGGUGAUGUAGAGUGUAGAUGAGGUAGGCGGAAUGUAUGGUGUAGCGGUGAAAUGCUUAGAGAUCAUAGAGAACACCGAUUGCGAAGGCAGCUUACUAAUCUACAACUGACGUUGAGGCACGAAAGUGUGGGUAGCAAACAGGAUUAGAUACCCUAGUAGUC